AACGCACCUUGCGCUCCUUGGUAUUCCGAGGAGCAUGCCUGUUUGAGUGUCAUUAAAUCCUCAACCCCACCGAUUUGCUUCGGGGGGAUUGGACUUGGAGCGUGCUGGCGAAGGUCGGCUCCUCUUUAAAUGCAUCAGCGGAGAAGAAAGCUCGUCCCAGUGUGAUAAUCCUGUUGCGCUGUGGUGGGGUGAAAAUUCCGCUUCCAACCGUCCUCCGGGACAAGACAUCUCAAUUUGACCUCAAAUCAGGUAGGACUACCCGCUGAACUUAA
This 272-nucleotide unclassified non-coding RNA is filed under the name Amphinema sp. (in: basidiomycete fungi). RNAcentral describes it as "partial contains 5.8S ribosomal RNA, internal transcribed spacer 2, and large subunit ribosomal RNA". The stretch from base 1 to 52 matches the Rfam family "5.8S ribosomal RNA", at positions 103 to 154 of the family's 154-position model. RNAcentral also lists the same sequence under 3 other names. Lineage: Eukaryota; Fungi; Basidiomycota; Agaricomycetes; Atheliales; Atheliaceae. The record is from RNAcentral.